This 80-nucleotide microRNA precursor is filed under the name Rattus norvegicus (Norway rat). RNAcentral describes it as "mir-1343 microRNA precursor family". It matches the Rfam family "mir-1343 microRNA precursor family". The record is from Rfam by way of RNAcentral. Lineage: Eukaryota; Metazoa; Chordata; Mammalia; Rodentia; Muridae.
CUGGCUUUGGUGCUGGAGAACAGCUCUGGGCAGGCCUUUGCUCUGGUCCCUGCUGGGACCCACACUCUUGCUCCAGCCUG